ACGAACGCUGGCGGCGUGCCUAACACAUGCAAGUCGAGCGAUGAAACCCUUCGGGGUGGAUUAGCGGCGGACGGGUGAGUAACACGUGGGUAACCUGCCUCAAAGAGGGGAAUAGCCUCCCGAAAGGGAGAUUAAUACCGCAUAAUAUGUUUUAGUCGCAUGAUUGAAACAUCAAAGGAGUCUUCUUCUUCGGAAGAAGCAUCCACUUUGAGAUGGACCCGCGGCGCAUUAGCUAGUUGGUGAGGUAACGGCUCACCAAGGCGACGAUGCGUAGCCGACCUGAGAGGGUGAUCGGCCACAUUGGAACUGAGAUACGGUCCAGACUCCUACGGGAGGCAGCAGUGGGGAAUAUUGCGCAAUGGAGGAAACUCUGACGCAGCAACGCCGCGUGAAUGAUGAAGGCCUUAGGGUUGUAAAGUUCUGUCUUCUGGGGCGAUAAUGACGGUACCAGAGGAGGAAGCCACGGCUAACUACGU
This 476-nucleotide ribosomal RNA is filed under the name uncultured bacterium. RNAcentral's name for it is "bacterial SSU rRNA". It matches the Rfam family "Bacterial small subunit ribosomal RNA", at positions 29 to 506 of the family's 1533-position model. The record is from RNAcentral.